This 443-nucleotide ribosomal RNA is filed under the name uncultured bacterium. RNAcentral's name for it is "partial 16S ribosomal RNA". It matches the Rfam family "Bacterial small subunit ribosomal RNA", at positions 338 to 795 of the family's 1533-position model. The record is from RNAcentral.
CCUACGGGUGGCAGCAGUGGGGAAUAUUGGGCAAUGGGCGCAAGCCUGACCCAGCAACGCCGCGUGAAGGAUGACGGCUUUCGGGUUGUAAACUUCUUUUAUCAGGGACGAAGCAAGUGACGGUACCUGAGGAAUACGCCACGGCUAACUACGUGCCAGCAGCCGCGGUAAUACGUAGGUGGCAAGCGUUAUCCGGAUUUACUGGGUGUAAAGGGCGUGUAGGCGGGAGUGCAAGUCAGAUGUGAAAACUAUGGGCUCAACCCAUAGCCUGCAUUUGAAACUGUACUUCGUGAGUGCUGGAAAGGCAAUCGGAAUUCCGGGUGUAGCGGUGAAAUGCGUAGAUAUACGGAGGAACACCAGUGGCGAAGGCGGAUUGCUGGACAGUAACUGACGCUGAGGCGCGAAAGCGUGGGGAGCAAACAGGAUUAGAUACCCCUGUAGUC